This is a long non-coding RNA of Lagopus leucura (white-tailed ptarmigan), 666 nucleotides long. RefSeq lists it as uncharacterized. The transcript has 2 exons. Lineage: Eukaryota; Metazoa; Chordata; Aves; Galliformes; Phasianidae. The record is from RefSeq and is a predicted model, not a curated record.
CCUAUCCUGAAAGCAGGCAGGAAUAGGGAUAGGGGGUGCCUGUCAUCUCUUUUUCCCAAGGGCAUAAAUUGUUGCAGAGGAAUCUAUGAUCACAAAGGACUUUAUAAACAGAAGGUAUUCUACAUCCCAGCAAGCAUGCCUGUUGACAUCUAUGGUUACUGUGGGCACGUCAGAAGGAUCUCUCAGCUGGGUCUUGAAGUGUCAGAGAAGAUGCAACACACAACUCACAGACUGUCACAGGCAACAACCCGACUGAGUGCCACAUUCUUUUGUUCCAGACUCUGUCUCUUGGCAUCUGGACCCUGGCGUUGCCAUUUAUUACCUCUCCUGGUUACUCUGGGAUCUUUCUAAACAAUUGCAUCACAAUUAAAUCAACAGGUGAAGAUUGGGUUGUGGACACGAAAUUAGAAAUCCACCAGAGUUAAAUGAAAGCUGCCAAAUUAUUCACUCAUGAGACAAAGGACUGUGAAUGUAUUUUGUGGGCUAAUGGCAAAAAUCAGUUUUUUUAGUUUUUAAGUAUAAUGCAUGCUAUCUUCCAACAACAACAACAAAAAAGCAUAAGAGCUUAGUAAAUUUGCCUGUGCUACACAGGAAUGAAGCAGGAAGAAAAUGGGAAAAAUUAUUUCUGAAUACAUGCUCAGAAGGGGUGCAGACAAGUGAAAUACA